GGCGGUAUUUUAGUUUUGUCAGAGGAACUUGUUCUGUAAGCGAUAAAACCCGUAGGAUCUUACUUACUUUAGGUUUAUAGUUUGUAUACCGUCAUUAUUAAAUAAUCUUGAAAAGGAUAAUUAUUGAGAUUAAUAAGAUUAAAUAUAUUAGAUCAAGGUGCAGCUGAUAGGUAAGUAGAAAUGAGUUACAAUAAUAUUUAGUUAAAACGAAUUAUAAAUAGAAUUAUUUAUAAAGAAGGUGGAUAUGAUUGUAAGGGGAAUUUAAUAAGUUUUUCUGAUAUAACUCUAAAUUAUGUACAUAUCGCCCGUCGCUCGCGGGAAAAA
This 324-nucleotide ribosomal RNA is filed under the name Dinochelus ausubeli (Ausubel's mighty clawed lobster). RNAcentral describes it as "partial 12S ribosomal RNA". Lineage: Eukaryota; Metazoa; Arthropoda; Malacostraca; Decapoda; Nephropidae. The record is from RNAcentral.